GACGAACGCUGGCGGCGUGCUUAACACAUGCAAGUCGAGCGGUAAGGCCCUUUCGGGGGUACACGAGCGGCGAACGGGUGAGUAACACGUGGGUGACCUGCCUUUAGCUCUGGGAUAAGCCUGGGAAACUGGGUCUAAUACCGGAUAUGACCCUAUGGCGCAUGUUGUGGGGUGGAAAGCCUUGUGCGGCUAGGGAUGGGCCCGCGGCCUAUCAGCUUGUUGGUGGGGUGAUGGCCUACCAAGGCGACGACGGGUAGCCGGCCUGAGAGGGCGACCGGCCACACUGGGACUGAGACACGGCCCAGACUCCUACGGGAGGCAGCAGUGGGGAAUCUUGCGCAAUGGGCGAAAGCCUGACGCAGCGACGCCGCGUGAGGGAUGACGGCCUGGUGUAAC
RNAcentral lists this ribosomal RNA (396 nucleotides) under uncultured bacterium. Its description in RNAcentral is "bacterial SSU rRNA". It matches the Rfam family "Bacterial small subunit ribosomal RNA", at positions 28 to 429 of the family's 1533-position model. The record is from RNAcentral.